AAUUUUGGACAAUGGGGGAACCCCUGAUGCAGCCAUCGCGCGUGUAUGAUGAAGGCCUUCUGGUCGUAAAGUACUUUUGGCCGAGAAGAAAAGGUAUCCCCUAAUACGGGAUACUGCCGUCGGUAUCUGCAGUCUAAGCACCGGCUAACUACGUGCCAGCAGCCGCGGUAAUACGUAGGGUGCAAGCGUUAAUCGGAAUUACUGGGCGUAAAGCGUGUGUAGGCGGUUCGGAAAGAAAGAUGUGAAAUCCCAGGGCUAAACCUUGGAACUGCAUUUUUAACUGCCGGGCUAGAGUAUGUCAGAGGGGGGGAGAAUUCCACGUGUAGCAGUGAAAUGCGUAGAUAUGUGGAGGAAUACCGAUGGCGAAGGCAGCCCCCUGGGAUAAGACUGACGCUCAGACACGAAAGUGUGGGGAGCAAACAGG
RNAcentral lists this ribosomal RNA (424 nucleotides) under uncultured bacterium. RNAcentral describes it as "partial 16S ribosomal RNA". It matches the Rfam family "Bacterial small subunit ribosomal RNA", at positions 360 to 776 of the family's 1533-position model. The record is from RNAcentral.